RNAcentral lists this ribosomal RNA (253 nucleotides) under uncultured bacterium. RNAcentral's name for it is "partial 16S ribosomal RNA". It matches the Rfam family "Bacterial small subunit ribosomal RNA", at positions 524 to 776 of the family's 1533-position model. The record is from RNAcentral.
UACGGAGGGUGCAAGCGUUAUCCGGAUUCACUGGGUUUAAAGGGUGUGUAGGCGGAUACUUAAGUCAGUGGUGAAAUCUCCGGGCUCAACCCGGAAACUGCCAUUGAUACUAUUUAUCUUGAAUUCUGUUGAGGUGGGCGGAAUACAUCAUGUAGCGGUGAAAUGCUUAGAUAUGAUGUAGAACACCGAUUGCGAAGGCAGCUCACUAAGCAGCGAUUGACGCUGAGGCACGAAAGCGUGGGGAUCAAACAGG